GACGAACGCUGGCGGCGUGCCUAAUACAUGCAAGUUGAGCGAUGAAGCUUGGUGCUUGCACCCAUUUGAAGAGCAGCGAACGGGUGAGUAACGCGUGGGGAAUCUGCCUUUGAGCGGGGGACAACAUUUGGAAACGAAUGCUAAUACCGCAUAACAACUUUAAACAUAAGUUUUAAGUUUGAAAGAUGCAAUUGCAUCACUCAAAGAUGAUCCCGCGUUGUAUUAGCUAGUUGGUGAGGUAAAGGCUCACCAAGGCGAUGAUACAUAGCCGACCUGAGAGGGUGAUCGGCCACAAUGGGACUGAGACACGGCCCAAACUCCUACGGGAGGCAGCAGUAGGGAAUCUUCGGCAAUGGACGAAAGUCUGACCGAGCAACGCCGCGUGAGUGAAGAAGGUUUUCGGAUCGUAAAACUCUGUUGGUAGAGAAGAACGUUGGUGGGAGUGGAAAGCUCAUCAAGUGACGGUAACUACCCAGAAAGGGACGGCUAACUACGUG
This 497-nucleotide ribosomal RNA is filed under the name uncultured bacterium. RNAcentral describes it as "partial 16S ribosomal RNA". It matches the Rfam family "Bacterial small subunit ribosomal RNA", at positions 28 to 507 of the family's 1533-position model. The record is from RNAcentral.